GUACACGCUGUGACUAGCAUAUCAAUAAGCGGAGGAAAAGAAACUAACAAGGAUUCCCUCAGUAACGGCGAGUGAAGCGGGAAGAGCUCAAAUUUGAAAUCUUGAAAGGUCACCUUUCACGAAUUGUAGUUUAAAGAAGUGUUUUCUGUUACGAUCGUAAUAUAAGUUCUUUGGAAUAGGACAUCACAGAGGGUGAGAAUCCCGUCUAUGAUUGCGAUUUGUAGCUUUGUGAUACACUUUCAAAGAGUCGGGUUGUUUGGGAAUGCAGCCCAAAACGGGAGGUAAAUUUCUUCUAAGGACUAAAUAUUGGCGAGAGACCGAUAGCGAACAAGUACCGUGAGGGAAAGAUGAAAAGAACUUUGAAAAGAGAGUUAAAUAGUACGUGAAAUUGUCAAAAGGGAAGCGUUUGACACCAGUGUUGUUUUCUGAAAAUCAACCUCUGUUAGCUUUAUGCAUGUUUGUUUAGACCUAAUCAGCUAUCUUGCAUGUUCUAUUGUUUGCAGUGGUGCACUUUUCAGUUUACAGGUCAACAUCAGUUUUUUUUACCGUAAAAAAGUUAAAGAAAGGUAGCUCAUGGCUCCGGUCGUGAGUGUUAUAGUCUUUUUCCUAUGCGGUAGGAGAGACUGAGGUCUGCAGUGUAGGCUAUUUGGCUAGAUACUCAGGUGCUAUGUGAUACCAUUUCAUAAACAACUUGUUGAUUAUGUUUUGUCUAUUGCAUACUCGCUUGUACUAUCAUACCUACGCUUAGGAUGUUGAGUAGCGACAUACGCAC
This 772-nucleotide ribosomal RNA is filed under the name uncultured Neocallimastigales. RNAcentral describes it as "partial large subunit ribosomal RNA". It matches the Rfam family "Eukaryotic large subunit ribosomal RNA", at positions 22 to 649 of the family's 3401-position model. The record is from RNAcentral. Lineage: Eukaryota; Fungi; Neocallimastigomycota; Neocallimastigomycetes; Neocallimastigales.